UACAGAGGGGGCAAGCGUUGUUCGGAAUUACUGGGCGUAAAGGGCGCGUAGGCGGUCUUCUAAGUCUGACGUGAAAUCCCCCGGCUUAACCCGGGGACUGCGUCUGAUACUGGAGGGCUUGAGUAUGGGAGAGGGAUGUAGAAUUCCAGGUGUAGCGGUGAAAUGCGUAGAUAUCUGGAGGAAUACCGGUGGCGAAAGCGGCAUCCUGGACCAUUACUGACGCUGAGGCGCGAAAGCUAGGGGAGCAAACGGG
This 253-nucleotide ribosomal RNA is filed under the name uncultured bacterium. Its description in RNAcentral is "partial 16S ribosomal RNA". It matches the Rfam family "Bacterial small subunit ribosomal RNA", at positions 524 to 776 of the family's 1533-position model. The record is from RNAcentral.